RNAcentral lists this unclassified non-coding RNA (201 nucleotides) under Hevea brasiliensis (rubber tree). Lineage: Eukaryota; Viridiplantae; Streptophyta; Magnoliopsida; Malpighiales; Euphorbiaceae. The record is from RNAcentral.
AUCUAUAGAGUUCGGAAUAUAGUUGUAUAUUUUCAGUUAAGUGUCACCAUGUCAUGAUUUGAUCAUCGUCCCAUCAAAAAAAUUUUCGUAGGGAGCGAAUUGAAGGUGAUCUUAUCUGAACUCGACGAUGCUCUUGAAUUCUGUGUGCUUAUAGAAAACCAGACAUUGGUGAGAUUUGUAGUCUGUAAAUUUAAAUAUGUA